This 1081-nucleotide long non-coding RNA is filed under the name Cyanistes caeruleus (blue tit). RNAcentral describes it as "lncRNA (ENSCCEG00000003368.1)". Lineage: Eukaryota; Metazoa; Chordata; Aves; Passeriformes; Paridae. The record is from RNAcentral.
GGUGGGCUAAGCUGGGCAGCCGCACAAGACGGGUCACAUACAGGUAGUGGAGGAAAGGAUGCAUGUCUAGUUUAACCUUGAGCUUCCUCUAAAUCACACCAAUAGGCAGGUAUUGAUUCCCUUUAGCAGGAGCAGAUAUUUUCACAUUUUCCAUCCCUGAGCUGGGUAGGGUACCUCUGGGAAUAGAAAAUGUGAGCCUGACCCUGCUGCUCAUGCACACGUCAGAAAGAAAGCACAGCUCAUGCAUCCCACCACCCAUGCAGGGACACACUUUGCCAAUGAAUCAAAUACCUCCAUGAGCUGAAGACCCAGUGAAACCUGGUUUCCUUGUGCCUGUUGGGUGUACUCUUGUCUCGUGAGAGCACAGCUGGUCCUGCUGCCUUUCCUGCAAUUACAUUGCCAACUUCUUCCAUGGGGAUGUCUGUUUUCCAGACCUUGUGAGAACUUUGUGUCUCAGGAGGUGUUUGCCCCUCUGUCAAACUUGGCUGAAACUGGAAAACAGGUUGUAAAAUUACUAGGGAGUCACAGGCACCCAUGCCUUAGACACAGCCUGUGUGCAUGAUUCAUCCAUUUAAUUUUCACAGGUGGUGCUGAAAGAUAUCAUUGAGAUGCAGAUCCAAAUUGUUCACAAAUGCCCCGCAUUUUCCCUUCAGCUGCACAGCUUUUCACUGCAGCCAAUGUGUCACAUAACUUCUCUUACGCGUCUCCCAGAGUCCUGGAGGUCAGGCUGGAAAGUGAAAAAUGCAGAGAUCUAGGAAUGGCUCAGCCAGCUGAAAGUUACGGGAAGGGAAAGGCUCCAGUUUCACUGAAGGGAAGGGAAAAAAAAAAAAAAAGAAGAGGAAGAAGAAUGGCUCCUUUCAAUGCAGACGGAGGCAGUCUGGCUGAGAGUCAGUGAGGUUUAAAAAUCCAAGUGGUCCAAUAACUGAAAAUCUGUAUAGAUUCAAAGCAAUACUUUAAAUACUGAACAAGUGCAGAUUAAAAAAAAAAAAAAGAAAAAGAAAAAAAAAAAAAGGUGUGAUGGCUUUUCCAUUCUCUUGGUGCAUAUAGCCAACCAAACAGUAUUUCUUUUCCUCAAACUCUG